This 460-nucleotide ribosomal RNA is filed under the name uncultured bacterium. RNAcentral describes it as "partial 16S ribosomal RNA". It matches the Rfam family "Bacterial small subunit ribosomal RNA", at positions 338 to 795 of the family's 1533-position model. The record is from RNAcentral.
CCUACGGGCGGCAGCAGUGAGGAAUAUUGGUCAAUGGACGAGAGUCUGAACCAGCCAAGUAGCGUGAAGGAUGACUGCCCUAUGGGUUGUAAACUUCUUUUAUAUGGGAAUAAAACGUUCCACGUGUGGGAUUUUGUAUGUACCAUAUGAAUAAGGAUCGGCUAACUCCGUGCCAGCAGCCGCGGUAAUACGGAGGAUCCGAGCGUUAUCCGGAUUUAUUGGGUUUAAAGGGAGCGUAGGUGGAUUGUUAAGUCAGUUGUGAAAGUUUGCGGCUCAACCGUAAAAUUGCAGUUGAAACUGGCAGUCUUGAGUACAGUAGAGGUGGGCGGAAUUCGUGGUGUAGCGGUGAAAUGCUUAGAUAUCAUGAAGAACUCCGAUUGCGAAGGCAGUUCACUGGACUGCAACUGACACUGAGGCUCGAAAGUGUGGGUAUCAAACAGGAUUAGAUACCCGAGUAGUC